Non-coding RNA from Deltaproteobacteria bacterium RBG_13_65_10, 109 nucleotides. Lineage: Bacteria; Deltaproteobacteria. The record is from Rfam.
CUGAGGCAGCCGUGAGGCUCCCUGACCGCGGCGCAGGAGUCAGCAGAGGGCAUAGUAGGCGGAGGAAACGAGCCGGGCGAGCCCGGAGCGACUCACCCCGCCGAAGGCC